GAUUAUGGCUCAGGAUGAACGCUAGCUACAGGCUUAACACAUGCAAGUCGAGGGGCAGCAGGACGAUAGCUUGCUAUGUUGCUGGCGACCGGCGCACGGGUGAGUAACGCGUAUCCAACCUUCCCUUAGUAGGGCAUAGCCCGUAGAAAUGACGGAUUAAUACCCUAUGUUGUUCGAUGCGGACAUCUAAGUGAACCAAGGUUUACCGCUAAGGGAUGGGGAUGCGUCUGAUUAGGCAGGCAGGCGGGGUAACGGCCCACCUGGCCUACGAUCAGUAGGGGUCUGAGAGGAAGGUCCCCCACAUUGGAACUGAGACACGGUCCAAACUCCUACGGGAGGCAGCAGUGAGGAAUAUUGGUCAAUGGGCGCGAGCCUGAACCAGCCAAGUAGCGUGCCAGGACGACGGCCCUAUGGGUUGUAAACUGCUUUUAUGCGGGGAUAAAGUGCGGCACGUGUGCCGUUUUGUAGGUACCGCAUGAAUAAGGACCGGCUAAUUCCGUGCCAGCCGCAGC
Molecule: ribosomal RNA, 512 nt
Filed under: uncultured bacterium
Lineage: Bacteria
Description: bacterial SSU rRNA
Rfam family: Bacterial small subunit ribosomal RNA
Source: RNAcentral